RNAcentral lists this non-coding RNA (881 nucleotides) under Pongo abelii (Sumatran orangutan). The record is from RNAcentral. Lineage: Eukaryota; Metazoa; Chordata; Mammalia; Primates; Hominidae.
AAAGUACCUGGACUUCUAUGCCCAUGCUUCUAGCAGCCAGCCUCCUAAAAUACCUCUAGUUGAAGCCAAAGUUAGAAUCCUUCUAUGAAACUACAGGAUUAAAAUGGGAUGGUUACAUGACCCAGGCUUGACCAAUCAGAUCAUCCAAACCCUUUGCCACAGUGAUUGGUCCAGGGAUACAUGCAUGAGCCAGCUCAGGUGGCAUUGUAUUAUGCACCAAGAGUGAACCAGAUAGAGGAAGUUGCUCCUUAAGCUUGCAGGUCUGAAAGAACAGGGAAUUAUCUCUCUUCAAAGGCCUAAACCACACUCAUCUUGUGGAUGACACUGGAGCUGUGACAGUCUGUUCUGUCCAGGCUGGGUGUCUUUUAUUUUUACUGGAAAUAAGAUUAUCACAGGUAAGAACAUCUGGCAUAGGCAUAGUAGGUGACAGGUAAGAACAUCUGGCAUAGGCAUAGUAGGUGACAGGUAAGAAUUAGGUGAUUUGAUUGUAAUUGGUUAGCUUCCUUAGGUAUUCCCAGGAGGAAGUAAUGGCCUCAGGGGGCCUCCAAAAAAAAAAAAGAUCUCGUGAAAUUUCUUUCUCUUGGUGGAUUGAGCCUGGGGCUAGCUCAUAUGAUGACUAUGGGACCUUCAAUUUGCUGAAUCUAUCCACAAGCUUCUACACUCUUUAGGAGAUUGGUUAAAAGUCUCUUGAAGACACCAAGAGGCUCAGAAGACUGAGAACUUGUAAGGAAGUUUCAUUGUUUUUGAAGGGUUUUUUAAUUAUCCCCAAAUUUUACUUGUGUUGGUCUAUCUGUGGAAAUGUGUGGUAUGUACACACACACAAACCAUACUACAGACAAUCUCAUAAUAUGAAACAUUAAAGUUUUGUUUCUGUUGUUCUG